UCCUACCAAAAUCACGCCACAUAAAAUUAAGUAUUAAUUAUUAUAAAAAUAACUAUAAAAUAAAAACAAAAAUAAUAAAAGUAAAUAAAAUCAUAAUUUAACCAAUAUAAAGCGACUAUUGGACUAUUAUUAGGGACUAAAAAUAUGCUAUAUUAUGCACUUAUCAAGCUCAUCGUCUUCAAGUGUGGAAAAUUCUGCAGCUCUUCCUGGAAUGACUACUGAACAGUGGCAACGCUUCCUAGACAUGCUUGGUAACUCAAAAACUACCGAUGAUCGUAUGGUUGGACCGAAAUUUGAGGACUCUGAUUGGAGCCGGUGAGCGGAGGGAUGGACUCUACUACUUUCCUGAUGUUCCUAGGAUUCAAGCUUUGAAGGUUGAUGAUUUGUCUUCUCCAGAUUUGUGGCACAAGCGGCUUGGGCAUCCUUCUGACAAAGUAUUGGAGUCUCUUCCCAUAGUUGGUAAAUCUAGUAGAAAGUUGAAAAAAAUCUUUUGAUGUUUGUCAUCAAGCAAAACAUACUAGGGAGUAGGGACCCUUUUCCUAUUAGUGAGCACAGAGCUACUCAGAAGUUUUGAAUUGAUACAUUGUGAUCUUUUCGGGGCCUUAUUCUACCCCUUCUUCUUGUGGUGCUUAUUACUUUUUGGCUAUUGUUGAUGAUUAUUCAAGAGCUGUUUGGGUUUUUUGGCUACUUAAUAAAACUGAGGUGUAUAAGAUGUUUUUAUCUUUUUUUGCCAUGAUUGAAAGACAAUUCAAUGCAAAAGUACAAUUUGUUAGAA
Long non-coding RNA from Chenopodium quinoa (quinoa), 775 nucleotides. RefSeq lists it as uncharacterized. Lineage: Eukaryota; Viridiplantae; Streptophyta; Magnoliopsida; Caryophyllales; Amaranthaceae. The record is from RefSeq and is a predicted model, not a curated record. The transcript has 2 exons.